This 9539-nucleotide long non-coding RNA is filed under the name Zea mays. Its description in RNAcentral is "long non-coding RNA (ZMAY_LNC004480)". Lineage: Eukaryota; Viridiplantae; Streptophyta; Magnoliopsida; Poales; Poaceae. The record is from RNAcentral.
GCAUCUCAUACAUGCGCCAAGAAGACAACAUAUAUAAUAACAGAGUGUAUAGAGAUAAAUGUCAUAAAUCAUCAGAGUAUUUAUUACAUAGCGGAAGACUUAUUACAAAAUAAGAGAUAAAUAUAAAAUGAACUAAGGAUCGUCGGCGCCAAUGUCGACUGAGAAACGCCACCUAGAUCAGAUCAUACUCCUCGCCUUGUGGCUCCUCCUGAACCACCUGCUCUUCUCCUGUGGGGGGGGUGUGAGACAGCAAGAGUGAGCUCACAUACGUUCAUCGCUCAACAAGUCGUGGGGAAUAAUGUGGCAUGAACUCACCAAAGGUGGGAGUUCAUGAAGUGUAAGGCUGAUCAAUGAAAUAAAGGCUGAAGCUGAGCAUUGCUUUUAUAAGUUGGUCAAAAUUUUAUUAGCAGUUACUAAGUGCAAGUAAAUACCAAACCUUAAUAAAAGUAAUAGAACAAAAUUAAUAAAGAAUCCCAUGCAAAUGCAAAUGACAAAUUGACUUUAGGUUCCAUAAAUUAAUCAUGUGAGGGUCCGAGCCGCUCAUGACCGUGAGCACGGCUAGUAUACUAGUUUUACACUCUGCAGAGGUUGCGCAUCUUUACCCACAAGUCAUGUUACCCAUCUGCCAAGAGAUGGCCAAUCCCAUACACCUCUACCGAGGAGGCGAGGCAGGGUAACACUACGAGGCCUUUACAAAGUUCCACUAGCUUCAGACUACCCGCUACAGUUUAUAGGAAGUUCCAAUGCAGGGUUCCUGGCUGACCGCCAUCGCAGCAAAAUCAACCAGGGACCUCCCUACACUGACCACUCCCCUACUGCCCUUGCCCCUUUCGGGUAAGGUAGCCCUCCACUAGCUUUCCUAGUUAAUCAGCCAAGGGCGUCCCAUUAAACCCUUGUGGUAGCACUGUUUUCCCGGGUGGUCGCUCCAUGUUCCCAUUAAUUUAAUGAUCUUAACAUGAAUAGUAACAAUAACAAGAUAAUAACAGAAUAAUCAUGAAUAGUGUAUCUCCAUACCCAAUCCACAUAAAGCAAUAGCAAGUACUGCCCAAAAAUAUUUCAGGGGUGAACAAGGUAUAGAGGUAAUCAAAACUGGGGUAACAUAAAGGAUCCCAUCAAAAUUAACCUAUGCAGAUCAUUAAAAUUAAUAAGAACAUGGCUGGGAAAAGUAAGUGAUCAAGGGCACAACUUGCCUGGCACUUGAGAUUUCAGGUACCAACUUGCUUUUCAAAUGACACGUGUCCUCGCGCUAGUCGUAACAAUACAAACAAACAUGGUAUAGAUAAAAUUAACAUCACACCAAACAUAAUAAUAUACUGCAUAAUAAUGAUCUAUGUGUUGCUACGAGACUAACGCAACUUGAACGGAUUAAAUCGGAGUUAAAACGGAGGAGUUAUGAAUUUGCUAGGGUUUUAUGUAUUUGAUACAUGAUUAAUUAUGAGAUCAAUUUUAAUGUGGUUUUCAUGUCAAAACAGAGAUACUAGGUGAUAAAAAAACAUUAUUACAAAAUUAUAGAAACUGGAAUGGAUAAAUUUGGACUAAAUAUGGAUUUUCUAUGGAAUAAACAAGUUUCUAUCAAUUAUUUAUACACUAAAAAUCUAUUUCUACUUUAUUUUCUCUGAUUUUACAAUGCUCUGGACUGGGCCUCAAUAACAGGGAAAUCUGGGGUUGCAGGGUAAAAUUUCCUAAGACCUAGGCAACAGUCGCCGAGGACGGCGGGUUGUUUAUUAACAUCGUCAGGGGCUCAUACGCAAAAUUCAUAUGUCGAAGCGGUAUCGACCGAUCGCGGCCGCACGAUCUAUGGUGGGCGGUAUGGAUUAGAUCCGUAGACAUCAGAACCUGUAAUUCUACGUGAACCCUCGGAUUACCGAUCAAGGGCCAGAAUCCGCCCACGACAACCCCCAAUCCGACCCGUUGGAUUUGUGAGUAACGACACUUAUCUAACCGCGUGAGAAGGUACCCGGUCGUCAAUCCUAACCAUCCGUUACGCCAUCGACGACUUAGUUUCUAUCGUCUACCUCCAGGUGAACCGCGACAGCGCUGACUGCGCACGGCGGUGACCGCGCCGGCGAGAGGGCGCAAAACGUUCCUGGCGGCCCAAGAUCCCCAAUCGAUUACUCCAAUUUGGACCAGAGAAAAAUAGCUAGCAUGGGGGGCAUUCAAUCGGAGGUUUGAAGCGACGGAGGUGGUCAGCCCACGAGCCGCGGCGGCACUGCGGCCAACAACCACACCGGCGACGAAUUCUAAGGGCACUGGUGAUCUAUCGCUUAGCCCAAUCGGCGCUAUACCUCGGGUAAGUGAAAUCAAAACAGGGAACGUGGCACAUACCAACAAUUUCGCGAUGCCGACUCGAGCCAGGGUGUGAUGCGGCGUGGUUGUGGGAUGAGAGCAUGAUUCGGUGAGCAAUCGACGGCACUCCAAUUUGCCCCCCCUAAGUUUGACAACACUGAGCUCCCGCGCGCACGGUGAACUGACGAGGCGCGAGCCCAGCCACACUCGUUCGGUCGCCAAGGAUAAGCAGCAGGGACUACGGGUGCCGAGCGCCAUGGCAGCGGCGCGGCUGGGUUCAUGGCGGCGGAGGUUAGGGUUCUAAGGAAAGAAAGAAAGGGCACCAGGCGCGCAGCUUUAAAGUCCGGUCAGGUCGGAUGCUACUGGCCACCUGGCAUCGCGCGGCAACGAGGUCUUUCGCGAGAUCUCCGGUAAACGGAAAUGGCGGCCACAACGCGAUUGUCGACAGGGUUCUGUUACGAGGAGGAGAUAGAGCUGACCAACGGGGCCCACAGGUCAGCCACCAGGCACGCGCGCGUGAAUGAGAGCGCGGCGCCAAGCACGCGACCGAGAGGCAGAGGUGUGGGCCAGUAUUUGUCAGCGACAAAAAGGCUAGCGCUGGCAAGUGCUGGGCCGCGCUGGUGGGGUGUAGAUUGGGUUGUGGUCUGCUUUUAGGCCCAUGUAGUUGGUCUUUGCUCUUUUUUUUCCAGAUUUGGCUCAAAUCAAAUUCAACCAAAUUCAAAUUUGAGUUCCCACAAACAAAAGAAAUGCAACAACCUGAAAUAGUUAUAUAUUUAUAUAUCACUUUAGACAGAAAACCUUUCUAUUACUCCUUUUCUAAAUUCAUUCUUGGUUUCGAGAUUCAGUCCUCAAAAUUCAAAGCUCAAGUAUAAUCACGAGAUAUUUGAAUUUACUGUUUAUUUUAUUAUUUAUUUAUUUUUCUACCAAUUUUGGGCUUUACAAAUCCUACCCCCCUUAAAAAGAAUCUCGUCCUCGAGAUUUAGGAGGAACGAGGGAAAAGAUGGGGAAAAUCUAUGCGAAGCUCUUCUUUUCUCUCCCAAGUAGCUUCAUCUUCUCCAUGAUGGCUCCAUUGCACUUUGCACAUUUUUAUCACCUUAUUUCUUGUAACAUGAGUCAAUGUAUCAAGAAUCUUGAUGGGAUACUCCGUGUAAGUCAAAUCACCCUGAACGUUAAGCUCUUCCAUUGGUAACUGUUCCUCAGGUAUACGGAGACACUUCUUAAGUUGAGACGCAUGGAAUAAAUUAUGCAGAUCGGAUAGAUUAUCAGUUAGCUCGAGUUGAUAGGCCAUCUCUCCAACUUGCCUAAAAAACUCAGAAUGAUCCAAUAAAGUGAGAGGACAAUUUACUCUUGACUUUAAAACUCCUCAUUCCACGAAGUGGUGACACCUUGAGGUACACAUGAUCACCUUCCUCAAACUCCAGUAGUCUCCUUCUAUUAUCAACAUAGCUCUUUUGCCUUGAUUGUGCAAUUCUCAAAUUUUCUCUUAUCAUUCGAACUUGUUCUUCCGCCUCUUGAAUAAGCUCAGGCCCAAAGAAUUGUCUUCCUCUAGUCUGAUCCCAAUAUAGAGGAGUCCUGCACUUCCUGCCAUAUAGAGUCUCGAAUAGCGACAUCUUUAGAUUGGCCUGGUAACUAUUAUUAUAUGAGAACUCAGCAUAAGGUAGACUCUUGUCCCAACUACUACCAUGCUGAAGGGCACAAGUUCUCAACAUGUCUUCCAAUACUUGAUUAGUCCUUUCAGUAUGUCCAUCAGUCUGAGGAUGGUAGGCCAAACUAAAAUUCAACUUUGUAUCCAUAUUCUCAUGCAAACUUUUCCAAAAUCUGGAGGUAAAUUGUGAUCCUCUAUCUGAAGUGAUCUUCUUUGGUACACCGUGUCGAGACACAAUCCGAGCCAUAUAUAACUCUACCAAUUGAAAUCCCUUAUAAGUAGUCUUGACAGGAAUGAAAUGAGCCACUUUGGUCAAUCUAUCCAUAAUGACCCAUAUAGAAUCAUAUCUUUUCGAGGUGCGAGACAAUCUGGUAAUGAAGACCUUACCAAUCUCUUUCCACUUCCACUCGGGUAUCUUUAGUGGGUGUAAUAGUCCAGCUAGUCUUUGGUGUUCAGCCUUAACUCUUUGACACACGUCGCACAUAGCCACAUGUGCAGCCACAUCUCUCUUCAAUCCAUACCACCAGUAUUUCUGCUUCAAAUCCUGAUACAUCUUGGUACUACCAGGAUGAAUAGAAUAAUCCGAGUCAUGGGCUUCCUUUAGUAUAGUCUCACGAAGGCUAUCAAUCUCACAAACACAUAUCCUGUCCUUGAACCAUACGGUGCUUUGCUCAUCUUCCGUGAAUUCCGGACCUCGACCUUCAGUAAUCAGAUCCUUAAUCUCUUGUAUUUUAGCAUCACCAAUUUGUCCUUUGCGGAUCUCUUGCUCCAAAAUAGGUUCCACAUCAAUAGUAACUCCUUCAGUGUGAGCAACUAUCCCCAGGUUAAGUCUCCUGAAAUCUUCAACAAUCUCAUCGGGUAGCUGGGCAACAACAGCUGAAUAAACAUGCUCCUUUCGAUUCAAGGCAUCUGUAACCAAAUUUGCCUUGCCCGGGUGAUAGUGAAUCUCCAAAUCAUAAUCCUUAAUAAGCUCCAACCAAUGACGUUGCCUAAGGUUGAGAUCCUUUUGAGUGAAUAUAUACUUCAAACUCUUAUGAUUCGUGUAUACUUGGCACUUAGAUUCCAUGAUGUAGUGUCUCCAAAUCUUAAGUGCAUGCACAACGUCAGCCAGCUCCAAGUCAUGAGUGAGGUAAUUCAAUUCAUGCUUCCGCAACUGACGAGAUGCAUAGGCAAUCACAUGUCCUUCUUGCAUGAGCACACAUCCAAGUCCUUGGCCACAUGCAUCACAAUAAAUGUCAAAUCCCUUCUGUAGAUCUGGCAUAACCAAUACUGGUGGUGACAUUAGUCUCUCCUUCAAUUGCUCAAAGCUUUCUUGGCACUUCUCAUCCCACUUGAAUUCUCUUCCUUUCUCUAAAAGCGAUGUCAUAGGCUUAGCAAUCUUAGAAAAUCCUUCAAUAAAUCUCCGAUAAUAUCCUGCUAGUCCCAAGAAACUCCGAAUCUCCGUAACUGUAGUGGGUACUCUCCACUCCAUUAUCUCCUUAACCUUAGCAGGAUCCAUUGAUAUUCCUCCAUUAGAAAUGAUAUGUCCAAGAAAGGGCACCUUGCCAAUCCAAAACUCGCAUUUGCUAUACUUAGCAUAGAGUUGAUUAUCUCGUAGCUUCUGUAGCACCAAUCUCAGAUGUUCCUCAUGAUCACUUUCACUCUUAAAAUAGAUAAGAAUAUCGUCGAUAAAUACUACGACGAAACUGUCCAAAUACUCCAUAAACACCUUAUUCAUCAAAUCCAUAAAAUAAGCUGGUGCAUUAGCUAAUCCAAACGACAUAACAAAGAACUCAUAUAAUCCAUAUCGGGUCGAGAAAGAUGUCUUGGGAAUAUCCGAUGGCCUAAUCUUCAUUUGAUGAUAACCCGAUCGAAGAUCAAUCUUCGAGAAUACCCUUGCACCUCUCAUCUGAAUAAAUCCUCAAUGCGGGGUAAUGGACUCUUGUUCUUCACAGUGACAUCGUUAAGGGACCUAUAAUCCAGGUACACCCCUUGUGAUCCUUCUUUCUUCUGUACAAUUAGAAUCGGCGCUCCACAAGGUGAGGAACUCGGACGAAUGUACCCAACCUCUUGUAAUUCUGUUAACUGCUUCUUCAGUCCCUUUAAUUCUUCUACAGACAUCCUGUAUGGCCGUUUGAAAUUAGGGCAGUCCUAAGUAAGGGAUCAAUGACAAACUCAACUUCCCUAUAUGGUGGCAUCCCUGGUGACUCCUCUAGAAAGACAUCCGGAAAAUCCUUAACCACACGGAUGUUGUCACCAACAAACUUCUCAUCGACUAAGAAUGCCACUAGUCUGAUGGUGGUAGUUACUGCAAUUUCAACUUCAAAUCUCUCUCCUUUGGAACUGGUGAGUUCUAAGGUUCCCUUAGCCCAGUGUAUAAACUGUCUUUGCCUUUCUUAACCAUGACAUACCAAGUAUCAUGUCUAUAGUGCUCUCUUCUAACACUAUAGGGGUAGCCCAUCUGGGUUAGAAAUACAGGGUAAGGAAAGGGAGAAUUGUAGACAAGGCGAGUAAUUACGAGAAAUGUUACUGCGGGGGAUUUAUUAGCUAAGUAGAUUAGUGUGACACCCACUAAAGCUAAUACAUUACCUUAUAGUGGUACAUGCCAAGAUGCCCGACUAUAAUGUUUCAAUCAAUCAAAGAAGCAAAUCAAGCAUUUAUCAUCAGGACAAUCAAUCAACAUUUUUAAAUAGAGAAAAUAGUUUUAAUUUCGUCUUAGGUUCCCUAUCUCUGAAAAAGUUCAUAGUUGUAGGAUUCCAAAGUGUGAAAUCCAUCCUGUCUUGAAGUAGAAAAGAUAAGAAUAAUCAGAGUAGAACAGCAAAAGGUGAGACAUGAUCAAGAUGAGAUAAGUAUAGAAUGAAUCAGAGUAAGGUAAGUAGAUAAGGGUUUUGUCCAUUUCUAUCUAGGUUUCGUCCUACAGUCAACAUUCCUCUGAUACCACUUCUGUAACACCCGGUUUUAAAGGACAAAGCCGAGUGCAUCUCAUACAUGCGCCAAGAAGACAACAUAUAUAAUAACAGAGUGUAUAGAGAUAAAUGUCAUAAAUCAUCAGAGUAUUUAUUACAUAGCGGAAGACUUAUUACAAAAUAAGAGAUAAAUAUAAAAUGAACUAAGGAUCGUCGGCGCCAAUGUCGACUGAGAAACGCCACCUAGAUCAGAUCAUACUCCUCGCCUUGUGGCUCCUCCUGAACCACCUGCUCUUCUCCUGUGGGGGGUGUGAGACAGCAAGAGUGAGCUCACAUACGUUCAUCGCUCAACAAGUCGUGGGGAAUAAUGUGGCAUGAACUCACCAAAGGUGGGAGUUCAUGAAGUGUAAGGCUGAUCAAUGAAAUAAAGGCUGAAGCUGAGCAUUGCUUUUAUAAGUUGGUCAAAAUUUUAUUAGCAGUUACUAAGUGCAAGUAAAUACCAAACCUUAAUAAAAGUAAUAGAACAAAAUUAAUAAAGAAUCCCAUGCAAAUGCAAAUGACAAAUUGACUUUAGGUUCCAUAAAUUAAUCAUGUGAGGGUCCGAGCCGCUCAUGACCGUGAGCACGGCUAGUAUACUAGUUUUACACUCUACAGAGGUUGCGCAUCUUUACCCACAAGUCAUGUUACCCAUCUGCCAAGAGAUGGCCAAUCCCAUACACCUCUACCGAGGAGGCGAGGCAGGGUAACACUACGAGGCCUUUACAAAGUUCCACUAGCUUCAGACUACCCGCUACAGUUUAUAGGAAGUUCCAAUGCAGGGUUCCUGGCUGACCGCCAUCGCAGCAAAAUCAACCAGGGACCUCCCUACACUGACCACUCCCCUACUGCCCUUGCCCCUUUCGGGUAAGGUAGCCCUCCACUAGCUUUCCUAGUUAAUCAGCCAAGGGCGUCCCAUUAAACCCUUGUGGUAGCACUGUUUUCUCGGGUGGUCGCUCCAUGUUCCCAUUAAUUUAAUGAUCUUAACAUGAAUAGUAACAAUAACAAGAUAAUAACAGAAUAAUCAUGAAUAGUGUAUCUCCAUACCCAAUCCACAUAAAGCAAUAGCAAGUACUACCCAAAAAUAUUUCAGGGGUGAACAAGGUAUAGAGGUAAUCAAAACUGGGGUAACAUAAAGGAUCCCAUCAAAAUUAACCUAUGCAGAUCAUUAAAAUUAAUAAGAACAUGGCUGGGAAAAGUAAGUGAUCAAGGGCACAACUUGCCUGGCACUUGAGAUUUCAGGUACCAACUUGCUUUUCAAAUGACACGUGUCCUCGCGCUAGUCGUAACAAUACAAACAAACAUGGUAUAGAUAAAAUUAACAUCACACCAAACAUAAUAAUAUGCUGCAUAAUAAUGAUCUAUGUGUUGCUACGAGACUAACGCAACUUGAACGGAUUAAAUCGGAGUUAAAACGGAGGAGUUAUGAAUUUGCUAGGGUUUUAUGUAUUUGAUACAUGAUUAAUUAUGAGAUCAAUUUUAAUGUGGUUUUCAUGUCAAAACAGAGAUACUAGGUGAUAAAAAAACAUUAUUACAAAAUUAUAGAAACUGGAAUGGAUAAAUUUGGACUAAAUAUGGAUUUUCUAUGGAAUAAACAAGUUUCUAUCAAUUAUUUAUACACUAAAAAUCUAUUUCUACUUUAUUUUCUCUGAUUUUACAAUGCUCUGGACUGGGCCUCAAUAACAGGGAAAUCUGGGGUUGCAGGGUAAAAUUUCCUAAGACCUAGGCAACAGUCGCCGAGGACGGCGGGUUGUUUAUUAACAUCGUCAGGGGCUCAUACGCAAAAUUCAUAUGUCGAAGCGGUAUCGACCGAUCGCGGCCGCACGAUCUAUGGUGGGCGGUAUGGAUUAGAUCCGUAGACAUCAGAACCUGUAAUUCUACGUGAACCCUUGGAUUACCGAUCAAGGGCCAGAAUCCGCCCACGACAACCCCCAAUCCGACCCGUUGGAUUUGUGAGUAACGACACUUAUCUAACCGCGUGAGAAGGUACCCGGUCGUCAAUCCUAACCAUCCGUUACGCCAUCGACGACUUAGUUUCUAUCGUCUACCUCCAGGUGAACCGCGACAGCGCUGACUGCGCACGGCGGUGACCGCGCCGGCGAGAGGGCGCAAAACGUUCCUGGCGGCCCAAGAUCCCCAAUCGAUUACUCCAAUUUGGACCAGAGAAAAAUAGCUAGCAUGGGGGGCAUUCAAUCGGAGGUUUGAAGCGACGGAGGUGGUCAGCCCAUGAGCCGCGGCGGCACUGCGGCCAACAACCACACCGGCGACGAAUUCUAAGGGCACUGGUGAUCUAUCGCUUAGCCCAAUCGGCGCUAUACCUCGGGUAAGUGAAAUCAAAACAGGGAACGUGGCACAUACCAACAAUUUCGCGAUGCCGACUCGAGCCAGGGUGUGAUGCAGCGUGGUUGUGGGAUGAGAGCAUGAUUCGGUGAGCAAUCGACGGCACUCCAAUUUGCCCCCCCUAAGUUUGACAACACUGAGCUCCCGCGCGCACGGUGAACUGACGAGGCGCGAGCCCAGCCACACUCGUUCGGUCGCCAAGGAUAAGCAGCAGGGACUACGGGUGCCGAGCGCCAUGGCAGCGGCGCGGCUGGGUUCAUGGCGGCGAAGGUUAGGGUUCUAAGGAAAGAAAGAAAGGGCACCAGGCGCGCAGCUUUAAAGUCCGGUCAGGUCGGAUGCUACUGGCC